This 373-nucleotide ribosomal RNA is filed under the name uncultured bacterium. RNAcentral's name for it is "bacterial SSU rRNA". It matches the Rfam family "Bacterial small subunit ribosomal RNA", at positions 527 to 898 of the family's 1533-position model. The record is from RNAcentral.
AGAGGGUGCGAGCGUUGUUCGGAAUUACUGGGCGUAAAGCGUGUGUAGGCGGCUUAUUAAGCUUGAUGUGAAAUCUUUGGGCUUAACCCAAAAACUGCAUCGAGAACUGGUAAGCUAGAGUCUAGGAGAGGGCAGUGGAAUUCCUGGUGUAGAGGUGAAAUUCGUAGAUAUCAGGAGGAACACCGGUGGCGAAGGCGGCUGCCUGGACUAGUACUGACGCUGAGACACGAAAGCGUGGGGAGCAAACAGGAUUAGAUACCCUGGUAGUCCACGCCGUAAACGAUGAGCACUAGCUGUCGCGGGUAUUGACCCCUGCGGCGACGCAGAUAACUCCUUAAGUGCUCCGCCUGGGAAGUACGGCCGCAAGGUUAAA